RNAcentral lists this ribosomal RNA (504 nucleotides) under uncultured Sphingobacteriales bacterium. RNAcentral describes it as "bacterial SSU rRNA". It matches the Rfam family "Bacterial small subunit ribosomal RNA", at positions 903 to 1382 of the family's 1533-position model. Lineage: Bacteria; Pseudomonadati; Bacteroidota; Sphingobacteriia; Sphingobacteriales. The record is from RNAcentral.
CGCCUUGCCAGCCCGCUCAGAAACUUAAAGGAAGUUGACGGGGGCCCGCACAAGCGGUGGAGCAUGUGGUUUAAUUCGAUGAUACGCGAGGAACCUUACCUGGGCUCAAAUGUAUGUUGACGUAUUCUGAAAGGGAUACUUCUUCGGACAAUAUACAAGGUGCUGCAUGGUUGUCGUCAGCUCGUGCCGUGAGGUGUCGGGUUAAGUCCCAUAACGAGCGCAACCCCUAUCAUUAGUUGCCAUCAGGUCAAGCUGGGGACUCUAAUGAAACUGCCUACGCAAGUAGUGAGGAAGGUGGGGAUGACGUCAAAUCAGCACGGCCCUUACGUCCAGGGCUACACACGUGCUACAAUGGUCGGUACAAAGGGUUGCCAAGCCGCGAGGUGGAGCUAAUCCCAUAAAACCGAUCGUAGUCCGGAUCGCAGUCUGCAACUCGACUGCGUGAAGUCGGAAUCGCUAGUAAUCGUGAAUCAGAAUGUCACGGUGAAUACGUUCCCGGGCCUU